This 253-nucleotide ribosomal RNA is filed under the name uncultured bacterium. RNAcentral's name for it is "partial 16S ribosomal RNA". It matches the Rfam family "Bacterial small subunit ribosomal RNA", at positions 524 to 776 of the family's 1533-position model. The record is from RNAcentral.
UACGUAGGGUGCGAGCGUUGUCCGGAAUUAUUGGGCGUAAAGAGCUCGUAGGCGGUCUGUCGCGUCGGAUGUGAAAACCCAGGGCUCAACCCUGGGCCUGCAUUCGAUACGGGCAGACUAGAGUUCGGUAGGGGAGACUGGAAUUCCUGGUGUAGCGGUGAAAUGCGCAGAUAUCAGGAGGAACACCGGUGGCGAAGGCGGAUCUCUGGGCCGAUACUGACGCUGAGGAGCGAAAGCGUGGGGAGCGAACAGG